AUUGAACGCUGGCGGCAGGCCUAACACAUGCAAGUCGAGCGGAUGAAGGGAGCUUGCUCCUGGAUUCAGCGGCGGACGGGUGAGUAAUGCCUAGGAAUCUGCCUGGUAGUGGGGGAUAACGUCCGGAAACGGGCGCUAAUACCGCAUACGUCCUGAGGGAGAAAGUGGGGGAGCUUCGGACCUCACGCUAUCAGAUGAGCCUAGGUCGGAUUAGCUAGUUGGUGGGGUAAAGGCCUACCAAGGCGACGAUCCGUAACUGGUCUGAGAGGAUGAUCAGUCACACUGGAACUGAGACACGGUCCAGACUCCUACGGGAGGCAGCAGUGGGGAAUAUUGGACAAUGGGCGAAAGCCUGAUCCAGCCAUGCCGCGUGUGUGAAGAAGGUCUUCGGAUUGUAAAGCACUUUAAGUUGGGGGGAAGGGCAGUAAGUUAAUACCUUGCUGUUUUGACGUUACCAACAGAAUAAGCACCGGCUAACUUCGUG
Molecule: ribosomal RNA, 484 nt
Filed under: uncultured bacterium
Lineage: Bacteria
Description: partial 16S ribosomal RNA
Rfam family: Bacterial small subunit ribosomal RNA
Source: RNAcentral